RNAcentral lists this ribosomal RNA (398 nucleotides) under uncultured bacterium. RNAcentral's name for it is "partial 16S ribosomal RNA". It matches the Rfam family "Bacterial small subunit ribosomal RNA", at positions 338 to 733 of the family's 1533-position model. The record is from RNAcentral.
CCUACGGGUGGCAGCAGUGAGGAAUAUUGGUCAAUGGACGAGAGUCUGAACCAGCCAAGUAGCGUGAAGGAUGACUGUCCUGUGGAUUGUAAACUUCUUUUAUAUGGGAAUAAAAGGUUGCACGUGUGGGCGUUUGUAUGUACCAGAAGAAUAAGAAUCGGCUAACUCCGUGCCAGCAGCCGCGGUAAUACGGAGGAUCCGAGCGUUAUCCGGAUUUAUUGGGUUUAAAGGGGGCGUAGGUGGAUUGUUAAGUCAGUUGUGAAAGUCUGCGGCUCAACCGUAAAAUUGCAGUUGAAACUGGCAGUCUUGAGUACAGUAGAGGUGGGCGGAAUGCGUGGUGUAGCGGUGAAAUGCUUAGAUAUCACGAAGAACUCCGAUUGCGAAGGCAGUUCACUGGA